UUCUGGUCUUUCUUUCUUUUCCAUAUAUCUUUUGGUUUUCAAUUCUAGUGAUUAUAUUUCAUAAUCUUAGAUGUAUUUUGUCACAACUUCAAGCCUGACAUUAAUUUUUUUAUUGUAUUUGAUCGGCAAACCCGGAAUUACCCUUAUCCGUCCCGGAAACUGAUCCGGUAUUGUAAUUAUCUUCAUUUCCGGUUUAUAUAUGGCAUCCAUUGUUUUUCUAUGUUGAUGUUGUCAGUCAGAUACGAUUUCACUCGGAUUUACAAAUUACUUUUUAACGAUUUUCGGUAUAAAAUUAGCGGUUGGAUAAAAUGAAUAUUGCUGUCAUGAAUAAUAAAGAUGAGAAUUUAUUUUGAGAUCGUUUAUUUGGAAAUUUUGAUAAAAAGGUCUGCGAAGUUAUUUUUUAUUUUCUUUCAAAUCGAAGGUCCGUCGGGCGUAGCUAGUAACCAAAACGAAGGUCCGCUUGCAAAAGUGGAAGGUCGCGGACCUCGGACCACCGCUAAUUUGAACCCCUGCCAAACCAAGAAUUU
This 527-nucleotide long non-coding RNA is filed under the name Mytilus galloprovincialis (Mediterranean mussel). The record is from RNAcentral. Lineage: Eukaryota; Metazoa; Mollusca; Bivalvia; Mytilida; Mytilidae.